This 524-nucleotide ribosomal RNA is filed under the name uncultured bacterium. RNAcentral describes it as "partial 16S ribosomal RNA". It matches the Rfam family "Bacterial small subunit ribosomal RNA", at positions 28 to 523 of the family's 1533-position model. The record is from RNAcentral.
GACGAACGCUGGCGGCGUGCCUAACACAUGCAAGUCGAACGAGACGAUUGAAAGCUUGCUUUCGAAAGUCGGGUGGCAAACGGGUGAGUAACGCGUAGACAACCUGCCUUUGAGAUGGGGACAACAGUUCGAAAGGACUGCUAAUACCGAAUGUUGUAUAUUUUCCACAUGGAAGAUAUAUUAAAGAUGGCCUCUAUUUAUAAGCUAUCGCUCAAAGAUGGGUCUGCGUCUGAUUAGCUAGUUGGUGGGGUAACGGCCUACCAAGGCGACGAUCAGUAGCCGGUCUGGGAGGAGGAACGGCCACAUUGGGACUGAGACACGGCCCAGACUCCUACGGGAGGCAGCAGUGGGGGAUCUUCCACAAUGGACGGAAGUCUGAUGGAGCAACGCCGCGUGAGUGAAGAAGGGUUUCGGCUCGUAAAGCUCUGUUGUCGGGGACGAAUGUGCAUUACUUGAAUAAAGUAGUGUAAUGACGGUACCUGACGAGGAAGCCACGGCUAACUACGUGCCAGCAGCCGCCGUAA